This is a non-coding RNA of Cajanus cajan (pigeon pea), 3554 nucleotides long. The record is from RefSeq and is a predicted model, not a curated record. Lineage: Eukaryota; Viridiplantae; Streptophyta; Magnoliopsida; Fabales; Fabaceae.
GGCGAGGAGAGAAAGUAGAGAUCCGAUCGAAAUGGCGUGGCGGCGGUAUGGAGUGAGAGAAGCGAGGGCGUAAAAGAGGAAGGUGAGGGAGAGACACAUCAGCACGUGAUAAGCCUUGUCCAAUCCCAACCAUGGGACAUUAAAUUCAAGCCUCAAUCAGAGAGGAUGUAUUCAACUUGCUUGGUUUAUCAAUAGAAGAUGGAGGAGUUUAUACUUCCCAAACUGUCAAUGUUGUGAGUAAUUCCGGUGUAUAUCGAAUGACUAACCAUGACUAUAGAUUGAUUUUGACUAUAUAUUCUAUCGUGACAUGGAUUCAAUAUGAAAAGUUGACAAUAAUUGGGCUAACUCCAGUGUCAUUUAAAGAUGUUUUGGAUUUGAAAAACAAUCCAACUUAUUCAAUAGACGUUGUUGGAUUUGUUACUGCAACAUCAACUGAGAGGAAUUAUAUCAAGAAUGGUAUAGAAAUGUGAAAAAGAUUUUCUUGCAAUUAAAUGAUCACAUGUGCAUGGGCGAAUUUGAAUGUGCUUUAUGUGAUCAAUAUGCUGACACAGUGAAGUGGUUACAUGCAUAUUUUGGCAAUUCAAUGUACAAAGAUAUUGCCAUAUGGUUCCUUUUUGUUUGGUUAGUCCUAAUUUCAACAUUUCUUUUAGAAACAUAUCACUAAUUUAUAUAUUAAUAUACUUUUCAAAUUAUGUUUCAUCUAUUUUUAAAAGUUUACGAUCCUAAUUUAAUUUUUCAGGGGAUGCAGUUAUUGAAACUGUAUUAGCUAUGACUAAUAUUAUAUUCAAUCCUGACCUUCCUCAAACAACUUUGUUAAAAAAUAGGUAUACGUUAAAAAAAAUCUCUUAAUUUUGAAAUUCUAUACUAUUCUAAAAAUACUUUUUUUUUUUUUUGCGAGUUUUACUUUUCAGUAUGAUGGAGAAUGGUUUUACCAUUAAAACAACACUUCGAUAUGAUUGACUUGAAAGAAUUAACAAUAGAUUGAAUCAUGACUUCUUGAUCAUGAAGCCUAGAAAAAAGUUGGAGGUUUUUGCAAAUGAGUUGAGGCAUUUCAAAAUAUUUUCGUCACGGUAUAGAAUCAUUGCUCAUACAAGUAACAAUCUUUAAAAACUGUGAGACAAUUUUAGUGUUGAGAUUGGAGAGGGUCUUCUCACUUAUAUGUAAUUCACAUUCCCAAUUCUCCAUACAUGCUGUGAGACAAUUGUAGUGCACUGAUAUCACCUGUUAAUAGGAUAAGAGGAGGAUAUACGUUGCUUAACUUACCCAUUCUCAUGUCAAGUAAGAAUUUAUAUUCACACUUGCAGCAGAUCUUAUUUUUAAAUUCUUAAAGAUUACAAUAUUAAAGAGCAAAAUUGUUAACUUCUUUGGUCUCAUGUGACAUUUGUAAGACUCAGCAAAUGAGUUCACAGUAACUUCACCGUAGUUGCAGCACGAAAGAUGUUCUUUCGUUACACAAAAACAAACCUCAUAUUGGUCGGAAACUUGUAAUUACAUUGGAUUGGAGAGGAAAAAUUCUGCUGAUCUAGUAUAGGUAAUCCUCUGAUCCCUAUUAUUAUUUUAUUUCAACGAUCAUAUAUAUUUUUAACUUCUGAUCUCGUUUUUUCCCACCAAAAACUUCAAGUUAAAGUUUUGUCUACCGAAUUAUUUAGUUGACAUUAUCUUCAGGAAGUUUCUGAUUGCUAUUACCUUCUGUAAGAGUGUACCCAUCAGUUAAUCUGCACUAGUUAUAAUCCAAUCUAGAACUGAGGGCGAAAAACAACCAGAAGGUAGAGUAACCAGAGGUACAAAGAAUCCAUGCACCCACAAGAUUAGGUGCAAAUUAAUAAUGCAUUUCAUGGAUUUGGAUGGUCUACCGUUUAAAAUAAAAUUGUAUAAUUUCAUGGAUUUGGAUAUUGUGGUACUUUUAAGCAUAAAUGUUAGUAUUGGAGUUUAAGUAUAAAGUGAGUUUCACACCCGUUAAAGUUAAAUAUGUUGAGUAAUAUAUAAGUGAGAAAGAUUCACCUAUUUAAUGUCUUAAAGUUUUUAGUUGAUAUGUGAUAUCAAAUUCAUUUACUCACUACCCAUUGUAUGGAUGCUCCCUUAUAUAAAACUGUUGGGAUGCAAGCAAAGUCCCACAUCAUUCAAACAAGAGGAUGAACAUGUGUUUAUAUACACACAAUUGUCUCCAUUGAUUAAGAGGUCUUUUGAGUGAUGUCCAAAAGUAAAACUGUGAGGGCUUAGUCCUAAAGCGGACAAUAUCUCACCAAUGUGGAGACAUGUGUAUAUGUGUGGUAACUCCCUCCGUGCUCAACAAAAGCUUCUCCACCCAAUAGUGGUAUCAUUUAUAUUUUUGCCUUUACAUUGAAAGGUUUUUCACUUUACAAAUCUUUGUGUUUCUUAUGCGCUUGAAUUAUUUAUUUUUGUUCUAUUUUAUUGGUGCUCCUCGUUGAUUCUUGCAAGUAGGGGAAUUUAAUUUCUAUUGCGUUAUUGCUCAAUUUUAUUGAGUUGUUAUUGUAUUAAGUUUUUCCCAUCAGAGUGGCACUAGAGCUCUUUGGUUACGAGGUUGUUUGGCUUGCUUGAAUGAUAGAUGUAUACACGAAAAUGAUUUCUUUGAGUGAAACAAAUCAUCACUUGUGGAAGGACAAGAUGAAGGACUUACUAUUUGUGAAGAAUUUGCAUCUUCUUAUGAAGAAUGUGAUUUUGAGCAUCAACAUACAAGUAGGUUUACAAGACAAUUUGUUAAUGAUAAUGUCUACAAUUUUAUUGCCAAUGAGACACAUGCAAGAACCCUAUAGGAUAAACAUGGGUCCUUAUAUGCUUCUAAAUUAGAGACUAAUAAAUUAUACUUACAGAAGAACUUUAUGGAGUUGAAGUACAAGAAAGGGACUCCCAUUACAGAUCAAUUGAGUGAAUUUCAAGGGUAUUUUGAUCAACUAUCCAAAAUGGAGUGGUGUGCUUAAUGAGGAGAUGAAAAGGAAGACAUAAGGUACUUUAUCUCAUUCAAAGGUGCUUGUUAUUGAAAACAAGGGGAGAAGCCAAAAGAAAGAAUAGAAGGGUGGUAGAGACAAAAGUAGGAGCAAGUCCAAGUCUUGAUACAAGAAUGUGGAGUAUCACUUUUGUCACAAAACAGGAUAUAUACAGAGGAAUUGUUUAUUGUGGAAGAAAAAGAAUAAAGAUAAAAAAGGUUAGUAAAGAGAGAGAGAGAUCAUGAUGAUGGUGAUUGUGUUACUAUUGUUAUCAAUGAUGAUCUUGUUUUUCUCCACGAUUAUGAUGUAUUUAAUGAGAGCAUGUGGAUAAUAGAUAAUGAUGUUACAAUGAAUGUUACAACUAAGAAGGAGUUCUUCACAUCUUAUACUCCAUGUGAUUUUGGAGUAUUGAGGAUGGGUAGUGAUGACUUGUCUAAGGUGAUUGGUGUUCGUGAUGUUUUCUUGCAAAUCAACAUGGAGAUGCAAUUAUUGCUUAGAGGAGUUAAACAUGCUCCAGAUGUUUGUUUUAAUUUAAUUUAUGUGCAGGUAGCCAUGGUAAUGGGGCAAGGCCAAGGCGGGGGCGGGGCGCCCCCGGCGGGGUUCAGGUUU